UAAUACACGCAAGCUGACGGUAAAUAUUAUAGCAAUAUGAUAUGAGAGUGGCGUAAGGGUGCGUAACACGUAUGCAAUCUGCCCUGUACAGGAGGAUAGCUCGGCGAAAGCCGGAUUAAUACUCCGUAAUAUUAUUGAGUGGCAUCGUUUGAUAAUUAAAGUUGCAAGAUGGUACAGGAUGAGCAUGCGUCUGAUUAGCUAGUUGGUAGUGUAACGGACUACCAAGGCGAUGAUCAGUAGGGGAACUGAGAGGUUGAUCCCCCACACUGGCACUGAGAUACGGGCCAAACUCCUACGGGAGGCAGCAGUAGGGAAUAUUGGUCAAUGGAUGCAAGUCUGAACCAGCCAUGCCGCGUGCAGGAAGAAGGCCUUCUGGGUUGUAAACUGCUUUUGCCGGGGGAUAAAAUUACCUUGCGAGGUAAAUUGAAGGUACCCGGUGAAUAAGCCACGGCUAACUACGUGCCAGCAGCCGCGGUAAUACGUAGGUGGCAAGCGUUGUCCGGAUUUAUUGGGUUUAAAGGGUGCGUAGGCGGCCUAUUAAGUCAGUUCUGAAAUAUCCCGGCUUAACCGGGAGGGUGGGAUUGAUACUGAUGGGCUUGAGUGGAGUCGAGGUAGGCGGAAUUGACGGUGUAGCGGUGAAAUGCUUAG
This 648-nucleotide ribosomal RNA is filed under the name uncultured bacterium. Its description in RNAcentral is "bacterial SSU rRNA". It matches the Rfam family "Bacterial small subunit ribosomal RNA", at positions 49 to 693 of the family's 1533-position model. The record is from RNAcentral.